Pseudoliparis swirei is the source of this 450-nucleotide long non-coding RNA. RefSeq lists it as uncharacterized. The record is from RefSeq and is a predicted model, not a curated record. Lineage: Eukaryota; Metazoa; Chordata; Actinopteri; Perciformes; Liparidae. The transcript is spliced from 3 exons.
GUCGCAGCCCACUCCGCAUCCGUCUGCAUCACGUUCACCUAUAUGACAGGUUCGGAGACUGAAGGGAGUUGACGACUUGCCCACAGACCAGCUUUACUUCAUUUCAGCCAGCUUUCCGCAGAGAAUAAAAGUCAACGUGAAUGGACAACUGGAAGACUGAAAAAUGACGGACUUUGCAGGACCAGAUCAUCUGAACGAGGCCAACCUGCCACGGGGCUGCUUCCAGGUCCAGGAGGACAGCAGUGAGGAAUAAGACCUUUUCUGCAGGAUCACAGUCAAGGAAUCCGCUCAGGCUACGGAGACUCCUUAACAGGAGAUAAGAUAGUCUCUCGCACAGAUUCAGAGAGUUUAUAGACAUUUUAAAUGGCUUUAGCCAGAGUUGAAGACCUUGAAGGAGGACUUAAGGAACCAGAGCAGUGUCUUGAUCCGCCUCUAGGCUCAUCUAAUAAC